This 413-nucleotide unclassified non-coding RNA is filed under the name soil metagenome. RNAcentral describes it as "partial contains 5.8S ribosomal RNA, internal transcribed spacer 2, and large subunit ribosomal RNA". The stretch from base 1 to 122 matches the Rfam family "5.8S ribosomal RNA", at positions 35 to 154 of the family's 154-position model. The record is from RNAcentral.
GAUGAAGAACGUAGCGAAAUGCGAUACUUGGUGUGAAUUGCAGAAUCCCGUGAACCAUCGAGUCUUUGAACGCAAGUUGCGCCCGAAGCCGUCAGGCCGAGGGCACGCCUGCCUGGGCGUCACACGCCGUUGCCCCCCCGCGCCCCGCACCCAACUCUUUGGGAGCGACCGCGGGGCGGGCUGAUGAUGGCCUCCCGUGCGCUCCGCCGCGCGGUUGGCCCAAAUACCGAGUCCCCGGCGACGUGCGCCACGACGAUCGGUGGUUGAGAGACCUCUGUCGCAAGUCGUGCGCGCCCGUCGCGUCACGCGGGCUCGCAUAGCGCCUCGCGCCGCACCCGGUGCGGAGCUUUCAACGCGACCCCAGGUCAGGCGGGGUUACCCGCUGAAUUUAAGCAUAUCAAUAAGCGGAGGGA